This 952-nucleotide ribosomal RNA is filed under the name Chryseobacterium sp. Its description in RNAcentral is "bacterial SSU rRNA". It matches the Rfam family "Bacterial small subunit ribosomal RNA", at positions 88 to 1042 of the family's 1533-position model. Lineage: Bacteria; Pseudomonadati; Bacteroidota; Flavobacteriia; Flavobacteriales; Weeksellaceae. The record is from RNAcentral.
UGAGAGAGCGGCGUACGGGUGCGGAACACGUGUGCAACCUGCCUUUAUCUGGGGGAUAGCCUUUCUAAAGGAGAAUUAAUACCCCAUAACAUAAUUGAUGGCAUCAUUGAUUAUUGAAAACUCCUGUGCAUAGAGAUGGGCACGCGCAAGAUUAGAUAGUUGGUAGGGUAACGGCCUACCAAGUCAAUGAUCUUUAGGCGGCCUGAGAGGGUGAUCCCCCACACUGGUACUGAGACACGGACCAGACUCCUACGGGAGGCAGCAGUGAGGAAUAUUGGACAAUGGGUGAGAGCCUGAUCCAGCCAUCCCGCGUGAACGACGACGGCCCUAUGGGUUGUAAACUUCUUUUGUAUAGGGAUAAACCUUUCCACGUGUGGAAAGCUGAAGGUACUAUACGAAUAAGCACCGGCUAACUCCGUGCCAGCAGCCGCGGUAAUACGGAGGGUGCAAUCGUUAUCCGGAUUUAUUGGGUUUAAAGGGUCCGUAUGCGGAUCUGUAAGUCACUGGUGAAAUCUCAUAGCUUAACUAUGAAACUGCCAUUGAUACUGCAGGUCUUGAGUAAGGUAGAAGUAGCUGGAAUAAGUAGUGUAGCGGUGAAAUGCAUAGAUAUUACUUAGAACACCAAUUGCGAAGGCAAGGUGACUAUGUCUUAACUGACGCUGAUGGACAACAGCGUGGGGAGCGAACAGGAUUAGAUACCCUGGUCAGUCCACGCCGUAAACGAUGCUAACUCGAUUUUGGGUUUUCGGAUUCAGAGACUAAGCGAAAGUGAUAAGUUAGCCACCUGGGCGAGUACGUUCGCAAGAAUGAAACUCUAAGGAAUUGACGGGGGCCCGCACAAGCGGUGGAUUAUGUGGUUUAAUUCGAUGAUACGCGAGGAACCUUACCAAGACUUAAAGUGGGAAAUGACAGAUUUAGAAAUAGAUCCUCUUCGGACAUUUUUCAAGGUGCU